RNAcentral lists this ribosomal RNA (497 nucleotides) under uncultured bacterium. Its description in RNAcentral is "partial 16S ribosomal RNA". It matches the Rfam family "Bacterial small subunit ribosomal RNA", at positions 28 to 507 of the family's 1533-position model. The record is from RNAcentral.
GAUGAACGCUGGCGGCGUGCCUAAUACAUGCAAGUCGAGCGAACGGACGAGGAGCUUGCUCCUCUGAUGUUAGCGGCGGACGGGUGAGUAACACGUGGAUAACCUACCUAUAAGACUGGGAUAACUUCGGGAAACCGGAGCUAAUACCGGAUAAUAUAUUGAACCGCAUGGUUCAAUAGUGAAAGACGGUUUUGCUGUCACUUAUAGAUGGAUCCGCGCCGCAUUAGCUAGUUGGUAAGGUAACGGCUUACCAAGGCAACGAUGCGUAGCCGACCUGAGAGGGUGAUCGGCCACACUGGAACUGAGACACGGUCCAGACUCCUACGGGAGGCAGCAGUAGGGAAUCUUCCGCAAUGGGCGAAAGCCUGACGGAGCAACGCCGCGUGAGUGAUGAAGGUCUUCGGAUCGUAAAACUCUGUUAUUAGGGAAGAACAAAUGUGUAAGUAACUAUGCACGUCUUGACGGUACCUAAUCAGAAAGCCACGGCUAACUACGUG